RNAcentral lists this long non-coding RNA (361 nucleotides) under Salmo salar (Atlantic salmon). RNAcentral's name for it is "lncRNA (ENSSSAG00000096953.1)". Lineage: Eukaryota; Metazoa; Chordata; Actinopteri; Salmoniformes; Salmonidae. The record is from RNAcentral.
GUAAGAAAAAUGUAGCUUUUGUAUAAGAUAGGGAUUCUGUGAAACUCACUCAUCAGCCUGAAAAUGUCACCAGCUGUGUUGCCGACUGGUUAGAACGUUUCAGGUGUGAGAGGGCAGGUGUGUUUACGAGGCAGAACUCUCAGGUUCUAGGUGUGAGCGGGCACGUGUGUUUACGAGGCAGAACUCUCGGGUUGUAGGUGUGAGAGGGCACGUGUGUUUAUGAGGCAGAACUCUCGGGUUCUAGGUGUGAGAGGGCACGUGUGUUUACGAGGCAGAGCUCUCGGGUUCUAGGUGUGAGAGGGCAGGUGUGUUUACGAGGCAGAGCUCUCAGGUUCUGGGUGUGAGAGGGCACGUGUGUUUA